AUGAACGCUGGCGGCGUGCCUAAUACAUGCCAGUCGAGCGAACGGACGAGAAGCUUGCUUCUCUGAUGUUAGCGGCGGACGGGCGAGUAACACGUGGAUAACCUACCUAUAAGACUGGGAUAACUUCGGGAAACCGGAGCUAAUACCGGAUAAUAUUUUGAACCGCAUGGUUCAAAAGUGAAAGACGGUCUUGCUGUCACUUAUAGAUGGAUCCGCGCUGCAUUAGCUAGUUGGUAAGGUAACGGCUUACCAAGGCAACGAUGCAUAGCCGACCUGAGAGGGUGAUCGGCCACACUGGAACUGAGACACGGUCCAGACUCCUACGGGAGGCAGCAGUAGGGAAUCUUCCGCAAUGGGCGAAAGCCUGACGGAGCAACGCCGCGUGAGUGAUGAAGGUCUUCGGAUCGUAAAACUCUGUUAUUAGGGAAGAACAUAUGUGUAAGUAACUGUGCACAUCUUGACGGUACCUAAUCAGAAAGCCACGGCUAACUACGUG
RNAcentral lists this ribosomal RNA (496 nucleotides) under uncultured bacterium. RNAcentral describes it as "partial 16S ribosomal RNA". It matches the Rfam family "Bacterial small subunit ribosomal RNA", at positions 29 to 507 of the family's 1533-position model. The record is from RNAcentral.